This 566-nucleotide ribosomal RNA is filed under the name uncultured bacterium. RNAcentral's name for it is "partial 16S ribosomal RNA". It matches the Rfam family "Bacterial small subunit ribosomal RNA", at positions 355 to 940 of the family's 1533-position model. The record is from RNAcentral.
UGGGGAAUAUUGCACAAUGGGCGAAAGCCUGAUGCAGCAACGCCGCGUGAGUGAUGAAGGCCUUCGGGUUGUAAAGCUCUGUCUUUUGGGACGAUAAUGACGGUACCAAAGGAGGAAGCCACGGCUAACUACGUGCCAGCAGCCGCGGUAAUACGUAGGUGGCAAGCGUUGUCCGGAUUUACUGGGCGUAAAGGAUGCGUAGGCGGAUUUUUAAGUGAGAUGUGAAAACCCUAAGCUUAACUUGGGGACUGCAUUUCAUACUGGAAAUCUAGAGUGCGGGGAGAGGAGAAUGGGAAUUCCUAGUGUAGCGGUGAAAUGCGUAGAGAUUAGGAAGAACACCAGUGGCGAAGGCGAUUCUCUGGACCGUAACUGACGCUGAGGCAUGAAAGCGUGGGUAGCAAACAGGAUUAGAUACCCUGGUAGUCCACGCCGUAAACGAUGAGUACUAGGUGUAGGAGGUAUCGACCCCUUCUGUGCCGCAGUUAACACAAUAAGUACUCCGCCUGGGAAGUACGAUCGCAAGAUUAAAACUCAAAUGAAUUGACGGGGUCAUAGCUGUUUUUCCU